GGCCGAGUGGUGUAGUUGGUUAUCACGUUUCGUUAACAUGACACAUGUUAGCGCCGAAAAGGUCCUCAGUUCGAGUCUGGGCUUGGUCA
Molecule: non-coding RNA, 89 nt
Organism: Ascosphaera pollenicola
Lineage: Eukaryota; Fungi; Ascomycota; Eurotiomycetes; Onygenales; Ascosphaeraceae
Source: the annotation of a GenBank genome assembly